GACGAACGCUGGCGGCGUGCUUAACACAUGCAAGUCGAGCGGUAAGGCCUUUCGGGGUACACGAGCGGCGAACGGGUGAGUAACACGUGGGUGACCUGCCUUUAGCUUCGGGAUAAGCCUGGGAAACUGGGUCUAAUACCGGAUAUGACCUCAUGUCGCAUGGUGUGGGGUGGAAAGUUUUCGCUAGAGAUGGGCCCGCGGCCUAUCAGCUUGUUGGUGGGGUGAUAGCCUACCAAGGCGACGACGGGUAGCCGGCCUGAGAGGGCGACCGGCCACACUGGGGCUGAGAUACGGCCCAGACUCCUACGGGAGGGCAGCAGUGGGGAAGUAUUGCGCAAUGGGGCGGAAGCCUGACGCAGCGACGCCG
Molecule: ribosomal RNA, 367 nt
Filed under: uncultured bacterium
Lineage: Bacteria
Description: bacterial SSU rRNA
Rfam family: Bacterial small subunit ribosomal RNA
Source: RNAcentral